UAAUAAAAAUUUCAUCUAAAUCUACUGUUAAAAAUUGACAUUGUUGGCAGAAUAACUAGACAGUUACAAGUGGCAUACCAGUGUAUCUCAUUAUGACAUUUAGGGACUAAUUUUUAACAGUUAAAAUGAAUGCAAUUUUUAACA
This is a non-coding RNA of Gossypium hirsutum (cotton), 144 nucleotides long. The record is from Rfam. NCBI's taxonomy places the organism in Eukaryota, Viridiplantae, Streptophyta, Magnoliopsida, Malvales, Malvaceae.